GGCGCCGUACCCAAGUGGUAAGGGAGAGGACUGCAAAUCCUUCAUUCGCCGGUUCGAAUCCGGCCGGCGCCU
Molecule: transfer RNA, 72 nt
Filed under: Alkalispirochaeta alkalica
Lineage: Bacteria; Pseudomonadati; Spirochaetota; Spirochaetia; Spirochaetales; Spirochaetaceae
Also listed under: 2 other names
Description: tRNA-Cys
Rfam family: tRNA
About the family: Transfer RNA (tRNA) molecules are approximately 80 nucleotides in length. Their secondary structure includes four short double-helical elements and three loops (D, anti-codon, and T loops). Further hydrogen bonds mediate the characteristic L-shaped molecular structure. tRNAs have two regions of fundamental functional importance: the anti-codon, which is responsible for specific mRNA codon recognition, and the 3' end, to which the tRNAs corresponding amino acid is attached (by aminoacyl-tRNA synthetases). tRNAs cope with the degeneracy of the genetic code in two manners: having more than one tRNA (with a specific anti-codon) for a particular amino acid; and 'wobble' base-pairing, i.e. permitting non-standard base-pairing at the 3rd anti-codon position.
Source: RNAcentral